GCGAAAGUGGCGGAACUUGGUAGACGCGCAGGAUUCAGGAUCCUGUGGGCUAAACACCCGUGGGGGUUCGAUUCCCCCCUUUCGCACCA
RNAcentral lists this transfer RNA (89 nucleotides) under Deltaproteobacteria bacterium. RNAcentral describes it as "tRNA-Leu". It matches the Rfam family "tRNA". Rfam says of the family: Transfer RNA (tRNA) molecules are approximately 80 nucleotides in length. Their secondary structure includes four short double-helical elements and three loops (D, anti-codon, and T loops). The record is from RNAcentral. Lineage: Bacteria; Pseudomonadati; Myxococcota; Myxococcia.